GUGACACUUGAAUCUUUUGAAUUUAAUCUUUUCUGAAUCUUUUCGGAAUCUUUUUGAAUCUUUUCGAAUCAGCAAAAUUCCGAUAAAAAAAUCAAAUCACUUUUGCUUCAGUGUUUUGCGCGCAAAUCUGUCAAUCCUGAAAACGAUCGAAAUUGUCAACAAAAAUGGUGCGGUCUUGUGCGGUCGAUGCUGUGUAAUUCCGUUUUUUUAGUAAAAUUCGUGCGCGAUCGAUGUGAUUUUCGUAGUGUUUUAUAAUUCUACGCAUCCGGGAACGAGAAAACGGUAGGCUGUGAGCACCAGAGCCAUUACGAGGACUGGAACUAGAGGGGGAAGUGCGGGAAGUAGCGACUGCAGGAGCAGAACACCUAUGAACACUUCGGAACCAGGUAUGAUGGUUUGUAUUCAUUGCCGGAACGAGAGCAGCAGUUUUUGAGGCCGGAGAAGAUUUUUAUGAUUGAUUGAGACGCUUCCUUACUCUGGAAAACCCCCCAUAAACCGUGAAAUAUAUUAGCUGAAAAUGUCCCAUUUGAAAUGGUAAAACAAUGUAUUUACCUUGCCAACAAGAAGCAUUGCGUGACAGUGCUGGACUGCUUCCCGACUAUGGAAGGAACUGGUGUUCUACGUGCUGGAUACGCUGGUGUACAAGGAAAUGAAUCUGGUAAUGUAUCUUACAUAUGUUGAACGGCACUCGUUUGGACGGAUUUAUGUUUUACCACUAAGAGUCGAACUAGUUGUACGAACAUGUACGGCCAAACGCCGCUGGUGGCUGUUUUUCUUUAUGGUUCCGGAUGUGCUCGGAAGCGAAUAAUGCCAGGCAGUGCACCAUCAUUAUCUGCAGCAGGAAUCCAUCGGUUACCAAGAUUAGAGUUACAGGGCAUGGACGACAUGGACGGAGGGUCGGGAGAGGUGUUGGGCACCUAGGAGAAGAUGUCUGAGGUGCCAGUAAAGAAAACAACGGUUAUGCGGACGAAGACCGACAGCGGAAAGAGUUGGACGAGAUUUUGCGUCUAGAGAUAGAGGGGUAGAACGACAGUGUUUUAUUAAUCGGAUCCCGGAGUCCUCGCUUCUGAUAUCAAACGAACAUCUUUUGAAAAAUGGUUACAAUGAUGGUCCUGGAUGCAUCUUUUUAUCGACAGACCUAUUAACCAUGGCAAACAUUUUUGUUGAAAGGUACCGCUUCGCCAUCCAUACAAAGGAACCAAUGCAGUGAUCCAAACGGAGCCAUGUCUAUUUAUUAUUUUGUUAUUGUUAUAUUAAUUUUCUUUUAUUUUCGCCUUUGUCAAUAAAUAGUGUUGUGGUGGGUGGGGAGUUUUGAUGGGUACUUCUAAAACAUCCGAAAUUGAAAUACGGGUCUCUGAAUACGACCAUCAAAUGCAUGGUCACCUGCAUUGUUCUAGGGAGCUUAAAAUAAUUAUAGGUAAUAAUUAGGAUUUUUUUAGAGCUUGCUGAUAAAACCUUUAAAAUUCUCGAAGUGACACAAAACAAGGAAGUGUAAUUUUGUAAUCAGUUUCAACUCUCCAAAUACCAUGGCCAAAAAACAUCGCAAGUUGCUAGGUGACGCAGGUACGUUUAAUUUUGACUUUUCUCGAAAACGACUUAGAGAGUUCAAACGGUUCUUGCCUGCAAAUUAAUCAGAAUUUUUGAGAACAAGGAAGGUUCACCAAGUCAUCUGAAAUUGCGAGGUGAUGCAAAAUUUGUUAAGUUUUGAUUUUAAACAUUUUCCAAAAACUUUUUGAAAAGUUUAAAAGUUCACCAUAUCCUCCCAAAUUGUAAGGUGACGCAAGUACUAAAAACCUUGAUAAGAACUUUAAGAAUUUUUUAAACGAUUCAUGAGAUAUUCUCCUGUCGUUGUCGAUGAAAAUGUUCAUCAAGUCCUCUGGAGUUCUUUGGUGACGCACAAUUCAUCUGCUUUGAAAAUAGAACCACUCCUCCUUCUCAUUAGAACAUGUCGUUGAAAAGGUUCACCAAGUCCUCUGUAGUUGUUUGGUGACUCACAAUGCAUCUGAUUUGAAAAUAGAACCACUCCUCCUACUCAUUAGAAC
Molecule: long non-coding RNA, 2042 nt
Organism: Aedes albopictus (Asian tiger mosquito)
Lineage: Eukaryota; Metazoa; Arthropoda; Insecta; Diptera; Culicidae
Exons: 4
Source: RefSeq, a predicted model, not a curated record